Small nucleolar RNA from Amazona collaria (yellow-billed parrot), 132 nucleotides. The record is from Ensembl. Lineage: Eukaryota; Metazoa; Chordata; Aves; Psittaciformes; Psittacidae.
GCCGAGACUAGAGUCACAUCUGGAUACUGCCUGUUGUCCUGGUGUGCUAGAGUACUCGGACAGUGACCACUAAUCUAUAUUCACUGGCUGUUUCUGUUCUUGACUCAGUCAGUCACCAGGUUAGUGACAGGG